Molecule: ribosomal RNA, 253 nt
Filed under: uncultured bacterium
Lineage: Bacteria
Description: partial 16S ribosomal RNA
Rfam family: Bacterial small subunit ribosomal RNA
Source: RNAcentral
UACGUAGGUGGCAAGCGUUGUCCGGAUUUACUGGGCGUAAAGAGCGCGCAGGCGGUCGUUCAAGUCGCGUGUGAAAGCCCCCGGCUCAACUGGGGAGGGUCACGCGAUACUGAUCGACUCGAAGGCAGGAGAGGGUAGUGGAAUUCCCGGUGUAGUGGUGAAAUGCGUAGAUAUCGGGAGGAACACCAGUGGCGAAGGCGGCAUCCUGGACCAACACUGACACUGAGGAGCGAAAGCCAGGGGAGCAAACGGG